CACCGGCUAACUCCAUGCCAGCAGCCGCGGUAAUACGGAGGGUGCGGGCGUUAUCCGGAUUCACUGGGUUUAAAGGGUGCGUAGGAGGACAGGUAAGUCAAUGGUGAAAUCUCCGAGCUUAACUCGGAAACUGCCGUUGAUACUAUCUGUCUUGAAUACCGUGGAGGUGAGCGGAAUAUGUCAUGUAGCGGUGAAAUGCUUAGAUAUGACAUAGAACACCAAUUGCGAAGGCAGCUCGCUACACGAAUAUUGACUCUGAGGCACGAAAGCGUGGGGAUCAAACAGGAUUAGAUACCCUGGUAGUCCACGCCCUAAACGAUGGAUACUCGACAUACGCGAUACACUGUGUGUGUCUGAG
This 358-nucleotide ribosomal RNA is filed under the name uncultured Flavisolibacter sp. Its description in RNAcentral is "bacterial SSU rRNA". It matches the Rfam family "Bacterial small subunit ribosomal RNA", at positions 491 to 851 of the family's 1533-position model. Lineage: Bacteria; Pseudomonadati; Bacteroidota; Chitinophagia; Chitinophagales; Chitinophagaceae. The record is from RNAcentral.